RNAcentral lists this ribosomal RNA (269 nucleotides) under uncultured bacterium. RNAcentral's name for it is "partial 16S ribosomal RNA". The record is from RNAcentral.
CACAGGAAACAGCUAUGACCAUGAUUACGCCAAGCUUGGUACCGAGCUCGGAUCCACUAGUAACGGCCGCCAGUGUGCUGGAAUUCGGCUUAUUACCGCGGCUGCUGGCACAGAGUUAGCCGGUGCUUCUUCUUUAGGUAACGUCAAGACUCAAGGAUAUUAGCCUUGAGCUUUUCUUUCCUACUGAAAGUGCUUUACAACCCGCAGGCCUUCUUCACACACGCGACAUUGCUGGAUCAGGCUUUCGCCCAUUGUCCAAUAUUCCCUAC